Clupea harengus (Atlantic herring) is the source of this 1966-nucleotide long non-coding RNA. The record is from Ensembl. Lineage: Eukaryota; Metazoa; Chordata; Actinopteri; Clupeiformes; Clupeidae.
ACACUGUCUCAGUGGAAGUAGCAUGAGGCAUUCUUAUAUUUGUUGAUUUUAGCAGAUGUACAUAUGCACCAAGAAUUGGGGUUUGUGAAUGCAGUUCAGUCCUUUAUAGAACUCAAUUUUAGUGUGAUUCCAACAUAUGAAGAUAUUUUGUUUGCUGACUGUGUGUGUGUGUGUGUGUUUCUAUGCAGGUCUGCGCAGCCAGCCCUACAGACGGAUGGAUGGGCUGAGGAGGAGUAUGAGGAAGAAGCUGGAAGAUCAGCUGCUUCAGUCACUCAGUGUGGAGGUCACUACCUAACUGUUGAAGAAAGUCAGAGAGAGCAGGGGAAAAGGAGAAUGGUGUUCCUCUCCCUGAAGGAAAUCUCAACCUUUUAUUUUAAAACUGUUUCUGGACUUAUAGCAAACAGUGAAGGAGUGAGGAUGUAAUAUAGUUUUUUUUUUUUUUAUGGGAAACUUUUGCCAAGUCGAUGUCCAGAACACUCCUACUGCUAAGGAGUGGAGUUGGCGAGGAGUCUUGGCACUAAAACAGACUUGUCACUUGUUAGCUCCAAUGUGAUUCUUCCCAGCUUCCCCUGUCCUAUGUUUUUGUUUUCUUUUUUGCUGGAGCUAGGCAAGUGCCCACCAUGCACUUUUUAACAGACUUUUAUCCGUCCGUAUUAAUCUGCAUUCACGUCUUAAGGAAGAAGGGAUGCGUGUGUCGAGUCAACACACUGGAGGAAGCUCUGGAGAGAAGACUGUUGUAGAAUCCUUGAGUGAAUCUGUGAAGGCAUGGCCAUCCCAUGUGCUAAAGAAAAAAAAAAGUAUGCAUUUUCAUUUGUGACACUGACUGUUGUUUCCUGCUGGUUGUGUUCACGUGAAUGAACGUCGUCAUGAGAGUUCGUUCUUUUUUUUUUUUAAUUAGGAAGUAAUCAUGUGAAAGAACAAAACAAAAAAAACAAUUUGUAAAUGUACAUAUAUUUUGCUACGAAAGUCGAACAUCUUAUUUUUUACAUCGUCCAUCCAUUGUAAUACUGUAAAUAUCACACGAGCCGAACUAACUAACCCCUUACGAUCCCUGAGCCUUUUUUAAGUUAUGUUGUUUACGUAGAUUUUAUUUAACACUGUGGUGAAGACUACCUUGGGUUAACUCCUAUGAAAAGUGUAUCUUCCCGUUCUUUGACCUAACAUCUCACUUCUCUCUCGUCACUCCUGUAACAUGUGAUAGAUUUGUCUGUCCUUGCACGUUAUUCACUGAAAACCUGAAUGGACACCGAGUAGCACACCUUCUUUUUCUACCUUGUUCCUGUACUGCAAAACUGGAACCCUGAUCUUUCAAUGGCUGUCAUCAAAUAAAACAACAAAUACUGUCACUUUAACUCUAGUCAUAAUUUUGACUCUGUUUGUUUUCAUGCUCACCUUACUUAUAAUUGUAUAGCAUUUGCAUGCUUAAAUCCCUUCGUGCACAAAUAGUGAGGCUGUGACUGAUGACCUACUCUGAAAUAGAAUGAGGUCAUGGGAGACAUACCCAAAGAGAUUAACUGUCUUUGUCUAAGUCAGGCAGCCCUAUGUGGGACAAAUACCAUCCAAGAUUAUAUCGUAUUACACACGUAGCUGAUCUGACACAGAGUGGUAAACAGAAAAAAUCUUUUAGCUUCCAGUGUCUGCAUUAUAUCAUGUUCACCACUAGAUGGCGCCAAGUCACCGCCAUAUAACUCCUAUGUCAAUAGCGCACCAUAGACAGUGACUUCCAUGUCCAAGUCCUAAAUAUAGUUUAAGUAAUACUGAUCCUGUUAAGUAUUUUUAAUUGCAUAUCUGUUAAUGAUGAAUAUCAAGCUCAUGUCCAUUUUGCAGCUCUGUGCAACUAAUGUUUCUCAUGAACUAAUUGGGUUAAGUGCCAGCUACAGUGGAUUAAUGUCACAGUGGAACAGGAAUAAUGGAUUGCCUAAGUGAGAGGCCACUUGUUCACGUUUCCAAUCCCACAUCUGUUGAU